Molecule: ribosomal RNA, 380 nt
Filed under: uncultured eukaryote
Lineage: Eukaryota
Description: partial 18S ribosomal RNA
Rfam family: Eukaryotic small subunit ribosomal RNA
Source: RNAcentral
CAAUAGCGUAUAUUAAAGUUGUUGCAGUUAGAACGCUCGUAGUCGGAUUUCGGGGCGGGCCGACCGGUCUGCCGAUGGGUAUGCACUGGUCGGCGCGUCCUUCCUUCCGGAGACCGUCCCUACUCUUAACUGAGCGGGGGCGGGAGACGGGACUUUUACUUUGAAAAAAUCAGAGUGUUUCAAGCAGGCAGCUCGCUCUUGCAUGGAUUAGCAUGGGAUAAUGAAAUAGGACUUUGGUGCUAUUUUGUUGGUUUCGAACACCGAAGUAAUGAUGAGAAGGGACAGUCGGGGGCACUCGUAUUCCGCCGAGAGAGGUGAAAUUCUCAGACCAGCGGAAGACGAACCACUGCGAAAGCAUUUGCCAGGGAUGUUUUCACUGA